Molecule: ribosomal RNA, 540 nt
Filed under: Shigella sonnei
Lineage: Bacteria; Pseudomonadati; Pseudomonadota; Gammaproteobacteria; Enterobacterales; Enterobacteriaceae
Description: bacterial SSU rRNA
Rfam family: Bacterial small subunit ribosomal RNA
Source: RNAcentral
AAAUUGAAGAGUUUGAUCAUGGCUCAGAUUGAACGCUGGCGGCAGGCCUAACACAUGCAAGUCGAACGGUAACAGGAAACAGCUUGCUGUUUCGCUGACGAGUGGCGGACGGGUGAGUAAUGUCUGGGAAACUGCCUGAUGGAGGGGGAUAACUACUGGAAACGGUAGCUAAUACCGCAUAAUGUCGCAAGACUAAAGAGGGGGACCUUCGGGCCUCUUGCCAUCGGAUGUGCCCAGAUGGGAUUAGCUAGUAGGUGGGGUAACGGCUCACCUAGGCGACGAUCCCUAGCUGGUCUGAGAGGAUGACCAGCCACACUGGAACUGAGACACGGUCCAGACUCCUACGGGAGGCAGCAGUGGGGAAUAUUGCACAAUGGGCGCAAGCCUGAUGCAGCCAUGCCGCGUGUAUGAAGAAGGCCUUCGGGUUGUAAAGUACUUUCAGCGGGGAGGAAGGGAGUAAAGUUAAUACCUUUACUCAUUGACGUUACCCGCAGAAGAAGCACCGGCUAACUCCGUGCCAGCAGCCGCGGUAAUACGGAG